AUCUAGAUAGUUUAUGUAAAAUUUUGAUUUGUGGUGUCAAGGAAGAUUAGUUAUCUCUAGAUA
RNAcentral lists this transfer RNA (63 nucleotides) under Crypsis chinensis. RNAcentral describes it as "tRNA-His". The record is from RNAcentral. Lineage: Eukaryota; Metazoa; Arthropoda; Insecta; Coleoptera; Tenebrionidae.